Gasterosteus aculeatus aculeatus (three-spined stickleback) is the source of this 365-nucleotide long non-coding RNA. Lineage: Eukaryota; Metazoa; Chordata; Actinopteri; Perciformes; Gasterosteidae. The record is from Ensembl.
UCUUCCGGAGUUCUUCCAACAAUGGACAGAGUAAAAUUGAACCAGAAAACUUCCAGUGUUGGUGAAAAUAAUCGGAGUUAACAGAGGUUUUACUCUGUCAGUGUUAUUGACUCUCUCAGGCCCUGAUUCAACACUGAUUAGAGCAAGAUACCUUCCAGAGUAUCACAAAAAAUACUCUGGAGAGCCCCGCCCACCAACUUUCCCGGUCAAACUGAGAAUGUGGAUUCUGGCAUCGCCAUCUUCCUCGCAUCGAAAUACUGUGAUACCAUCAUGUUGAUCAAAACAGUCCUGUCAUCCAGCACCAACCAAGAUCUUUGCCACUGUGAUAAGAUGUGAGCUUUACAUGUUUUAGGUUUACUUUUGAU